GAAUCUUAAUUAGUACACUCACGUUCCCUGUGGAAAAUCGAUACUCUAGAAUACUCCCGGGUGAAGGCUACAUCGGUAUCCGUGCGCUUGCGGAUUUUUCUAUUUGCGUUUAAAAUACCCAACAAGCUUUCUAGCGCCGUUGCCGGGGAACGGUAGCUGUGCUAGUUUCGAACCAAGUCGUCCGUGUAUCCUUUUUCUUUUUCUUUUUUACCACACUCACCUUAUCACUUUCGCCAUACCACAUGGAUUUCACUCUAAGCAUUAAUGAGCAUGGAAUUUAUUUCAUAGCCACUUCAUUUACUCCAUGCUCAUAUGCAACAUCUUCACAAUCCAUUGGUCUCUCCAACAUCACCACAUUCG
Molecule: long non-coding RNA, 360 nt
Filed under: Sorghum bicolor (sorghum)
Lineage: Eukaryota; Viridiplantae; Streptophyta; Magnoliopsida; Poales; Poaceae
Description: long non-coding RNA (SBIC_LNC005466)
Source: RNAcentral